Molecule: long non-coding RNA, 604 nt
Organism: Nerophis ophidion (straightnose pipefish)
Lineage: Eukaryota; Metazoa; Chordata; Actinopteri; Syngnathiformes; Syngnathidae
Exons: 6
Source: RefSeq, a predicted model, not a curated record
ACCGGCGAUUUUCCGUCUUUCGGCUCCUACUCUGCUCUCAAACGUUCGCAGUGUAUUCGCUCCUCUAAACUACCUGCUUUUAUUCUUUGUAACUUCUCAAAAGACAUGUUAAUCCCACGCUGCAAUUCCAUUUUGGAGUUAAAUGGUCAAGUUUGGUGUCGAAAUUUGAAGAAUAUUGUGGCUACAAUGGAGGCUUGGCGAACAGCAGCCACGUGGACGCACGUGCCAGGAUCCACUCGGCCAGGACGCCAUUGAAGAUUGGAGGACAUGAUCCAUGGCGUUUGGGACCUCACAUAAAUGGUUUGGGGGUGAGCUGCUCAAGUUUCCAGAACCUGUUCCAUGGUCCUGAGGUUCUGAGCCAGCUGGGCACAGACUGAGGGUUCAUGAAGAGCUGCCAUCUUCUACAUGUUCAUUGAAAUGCUGCAUGUUUAAGAUUGUCCACUGAGGUGGAACGUGACCAAAGUCUGGGCUUCCCUACAGAAGAAAGGAUGGAUGUCUUCAGGAUCAGUGGACUUAGUCAGGAUGUGGAACUGCUCGGACAUUUGAUGGAAAAAAUGCUUUUUAAUGUAAAAUGUUUUAAAUGAAAUAAACAACUUUAAAUUUA